RNAcentral lists this long non-coding RNA (1101 nucleotides) under Zonotrichia albicollis (white-throated sparrow). RNAcentral describes it as "lncRNA (ENSZALG00000004034.1)". Lineage: Eukaryota; Metazoa; Chordata; Aves; Passeriformes; Passerellidae. The record is from RNAcentral.
AGAAGCUUUUAUGUGGAAAUGCUUGAGAGAUUGUUACUGUGUGCUGAUGUGAAAAAAGGCAUUUAUUUUCAUUUCAGCAGUUGAAAAGAUAGUUUUCUGUGAUGCCCUUCAAAAGGCAGUGUUUUCUUUUGCUUGUGUGAAAUUACAGUAAAUCCUUGGCAUAACUUCCUCUUGUGAGUGGUGUGUUCACAGUAAAUCAUUUCCCGCAGCUGGCUGUCCUGGGGAUCACAAAACUGUUUCAAGUUCUGCAGGUACCUACUAGGCAUUCCCAGUGGAAAUGGAACAUUUUGUGCAAAUGUAUUUAGAAAACAGGACAAAUUCUCAGUAAUCUUUGCUAUGCAGAUUGCUCUUUUGGUAAAAUAACAUCCAGGCUGCGUUAAACCUCGCAGUUUAACGCGAGUUGCUUUGUGUACAGUUUUUUACUCUUAAUUUCACAAAGGGCACUGGCAGACUGUUGAUUUCUUGUCCAGGUGAUUAAUUUCCCCCAGCUGCUGCAUACACAGGGACAUUCCUGGCUUUAACCUCUCCAUUUGCUCCGUAGGAUUCCCAAGGACGGCAGAAAGGAGCGCGCGGUCACCCCCCCUGCCCCAGCCAUGGGCUGCUCUGUGACGUGUUCAUGGUGCAAAUAAACCAGAACGGUGGGAGAAGAGCCUGUGCCUCAUUCUGCUGUCCUGAUAACCUCCAGCAAAAGAUUAAGAGAGCAACAGGGGACAACAAUUUUCCAGUAAUUCUCCCUCCAAUGUUAAAAAUAUCUCUUGUUGCGUGGUGCUGACUGCAGAGUGCUGAUGCUUCAAUGGGAUGAUUUUUGCCUCUUCCAUGCAAGAGCUCCAGGAACAGAACCCAAGCACAUGAGGAAUGUGCAGAGGGAUCCCUGUGCAGCCAGUGACAGAGCUGAAUGGGGGAAUGUGCUCACUUUCCUGCCAGAUCACUAAUUGGGUAAGUGUGGCUGCUCAGGGUGUUUCUGCAGCAGCAGCUCUGGCUGUGGAACUUGUCUCAUUAAAGAUUUUACUGUUUGUAUUCCACAAGUCAUGAAUUCUCCAGCUGGGGUUGGGACUUUGAUAAAUUGUCAUUUUUUAUGCUUGAAAUAUAACUUUAUUGCCC